Molecule: ribosomal RNA, 451 nt
Filed under: uncultured bacterium
Lineage: Bacteria
Description: bacterial SSU rRNA
Rfam family: Bacterial small subunit ribosomal RNA
Source: RNAcentral
GUCGAGGAUCUUCCCCAAUGCGCGAAAGCGUGAGGGAGCGACGCCGCGUGAAGGAUGAAGGCCUUCGGGUUGUAAACUUCAGUCAGGGGUUAUGAAUAGCGUCCGGUGAAUAACCGUACGCGAUGACAAAGGCCCCAGAGGAAGCCACGGCUAACUACGUGCCAGCAGCCGCGGUAAGACGUAGGUGGCAAGCGUUACUCGGAAUCACUGGGCUUAAAGGGCGCGUAGGCGGCUUUGUAUGUUGGCGUUGAAAGCCCCCGGCUUAACCGGGGAACUGGCGCCAAAACUGCAUUGCUUGAGUGCCGGAGAGGUGAGUGGAAUUCCUGGUGGAGCGGUGAAAUGCGUAGAUAUCAGGAGGAACGCCAGAUGUGAAAACGACUCACUGGUCGGCAACUGACGCUGAGUGCGCGAAAGCCAGGGGAGCAAACGGGAUUAGAAACCCGAGUAGUCC